RNAcentral lists this transfer RNA (62 nucleotides) under Dipodomys ordii (Ord's kangaroo rat). It matches the Rfam family "tRNA". From Rfam's summary of the family: Transfer RNA (tRNA) molecules are approximately 80 nucleotides in length. Their secondary structure includes four short double-helical elements and three loops (D, anti-codon, and T loops). Further hydrogen bonds mediate the characteristic L-shaped molecular structure. tRNAs have two regions of fundamental functional importance: the anti-codon, which is responsible for specific mRNA codon recognition, and the 3' end, to which the tRNAs corresponding amino acid is attached (by aminoacyl-tRNA synthetases). tRNAs cope with the degeneracy of the genetic code in two manners: having more than one tRNA (with a specific anti-codon) for a particular amino acid; and 'wobble' base-pairing, i.e. permitting non-standard base-pairing at the 3rd anti-codon position. The record is from Rfam by way of RNAcentral. Lineage: Eukaryota; Metazoa; Chordata; Mammalia; Rodentia; Heteromyidae.
GGCGCUGUGGCUCAAGUGGUAGAGCACUUGCCUUGGACACAAGAGGCUCAAGGACAGUGUCC